This is a non-coding RNA of Camelina sativa (false flax), 1766 nucleotides long. NCBI's taxonomy places the organism in Eukaryota, Viridiplantae, Streptophyta, Magnoliopsida, Brassicales, Brassicaceae. The record is from RefSeq and is a predicted model, not a curated record.
AAAAAGGAAAUAAGGAGUUAUUGUAGAAACCUCUUAUCCUUUGCGGCACAACUCUUUAGCCCCUAAAUUACGAUGUGAGCCACCGCCUCCCAGACCAUCCUCUCUCUUUCACCACCGUUCUUUCGCCAUACCUCUUUUGUGUAUAUGGAAUACAUGAGCUACACAUAUAACCGACAAAUCUUUGCAAACAAUACCCAAUGAGCCUCAAAACAUCAAAUUUGACAACGGAGUAAUUGAGUUGAGGAAUAUCAGACUCCUAUUGUAUAUGCGACUCUCCUCGACGUGAUGGUUGAUAUUGGUGUAGACAUGCCAUUGACAUUAUUGCAACUUCGUUCCACCUCUAAGAUGUUAUCAAGCGGUGAAUAUCGUUCCCAGAGAAGUGAAAGAAGGAAAAUAAGUGAAGAACGAUGAGAAGAUUUAAGAAUACUGAGGAGUGCCUUCAGUAGGUAGCAAGCUGCCUAUUUGAUGGAAGUUCUGACCAUGGAGUCGAAAUAUAUAUGGUCCACGUCCGUUGUUAACUGAAGCAUCAAUUUGUCCACCCAUGGAAGUUAAAGCGAACAUGGAAUUAUAUGGCUUAAUGUUCUCUCUGAAGUUUAUGCUUACACUGUCAAUCCCAAAUAUCAGUCUGAAGAGGAUUGGAGGUAACAUAGGAGGGGGGGGGGAGUUCAACUUUUCCGUGCAUACAACACAUUGAAAACUGUGGAGGUAUUUGGUUUCUUCUUUUGUUAAUACGUUCAUUGUACCACAUCAAAGCAUUACAAUGCUGACACAAAUAAACUGCAUCGCCAUAGUGUUCAUAACCUGUCAAAAAAGAGAAAAGAUAGAACAGUAGUAAAUUUAUUGUUCACGUAAAGUUGUUGUAAAUAUUGCAUAAAAAAUAAAGCUUACAUAUUUGGCCAAUAUCUGUUUGAGAUGUUCUUUCAACUUGCUGAGUAUUUGAGCUGCUACAUCUGUAUCUCUCUGCAUUAUUAAUAAUGAAGUGGACUUAGGGUUAGUCAUACUUUAUGCUGAAUAGGCUGACUGAUUUUCCUUUCUUGUGUGUGAAUAUUUGAUGAUAGUGUGUGAAUAUUUGAUGAUAGUCAUACUUUAUGCCUUGAAUCGAUUCGAAUUCAUAAUUCAGUUGAGUUGUUUAGUAGAAAAGUUAAGUUAACUUACGGUUUGUAAUGUCACUUAGAGGCUGUUGUGAUUGACUAUUUCUGGACGAUGCAAAAGAGGAGGUAACACUUGAAACUGCAUUUUCUGUUUUGUAGGAUAACAUAUUGAAUAGAAAGAGUUAAAUAAUAUAUGUUUCAAUUUAGGUUAAAUAAUAGUAUGAGAAUAAGUAACUUACCAUCACUGAAGAUUUUCUUUGCCUGUCUGCUGUUUACGUUUAAUACAUGUUUCCCUUUCCUUUUGUUAGGAUUCUGGCUAUUCAUUUUCUGAGCUUCGUCAGGAUGAGUUACAUAUAGAUGAAUCGGAUCAUUCUCUGCAAAAGAUAUACAUUUUUUCUAAAAAACUGAAGAAGAUUAUCAUGAAAAAUCUUUUGAGAAUAAAAAAUUUACCAUCACAAUAUACUUUCUUUUCCUUCCUGGUGUUUGACAGCUCUUUCCCUUUCCUUUUGUUAUAAUUCUGGCUAUUCAUUAUUGUAGUAUGGUGGGAUGAGUUAGAUAGAAAUAAAUGAGUAGGAUCAUUCUAUAGAAAAGAAAGACAUUUGUAUGUUCCUACAAAAGAAGAUAUGGAAUCUAUUAUGAAGGACUGAAAGAGAAUUCUACUUUUCUUACUAUGAA